Molecule: non-coding RNA, 3675 nt
Organism: Podarcis lilfordi (Lilford's wall lizard)
Lineage: Eukaryota; Metazoa; Chordata; Lepidosauria; Squamata; Lacertidae
Source: the annotation of a GenBank genome assembly
AUUUCUUUAACAAUAUUGUCUCGGUUUUCCCUAGCUGGCUGGCAGGCACGCUGCAUUUGUCAACUGGGAUGCAAAGAUGAAGGUUUGCUCUUUAUGAAUUGACUAGGUAACUUUAUGGAUGUUGUAACUUUAAUAAUAAUAAUAAUAAUAAUAAUAAUAUUAUUAUUUAUACCCCGCCCAUCUGGCUGGGUUUCCCCAGCCACUCUGGGUGGCUUCCAACAAAAUAUUAAAAUACAAUAGUCUGUUAAACAUUAAAAGCUUCCCUAAACAGGGCUGCCUUCAGAUGUCUUCUUAAAGUCUGGUAGUUGUUUUUCUCUUUGACAUCUGGUAGGAGGGCGUUCCACAGGGCAGGUGCCACUACCGAGAAGGCCCUCUGCCUGGUUCCCUGUAAGGUGGCUUCUCGCAGUGAGGGAACCACCAGAAGGCCCUCGGUGCUGGACCUCAGUAUCCGGGCAGAACUAUGGGGGUGGAGACGCUCCUUCAGGUAUACUGGACUGAAGCCAGUUAGGGCUUUAAAGGUCAGUAUUUAUCUUGCUCUAAAGCAUCUUAAACUGGAGCAGAGUCUUUGUAUUAGAACGAUAUUCUAUGCCUUUUUAUAUACAGUGGUACCUCGGGAUGCAAACGAGAUCCGUUCCAGAGCCCCGUUCUCAUCCCGAAUGGAACACAAGUUGUGACGGUGCGUCUGCACGGGUCACGUUUCACCUCUUCUGCACACGCGUGUGACGUCAUUUUGAGCAUCUGCGCAUGCAUGAGCGGCAAAACCCAGAAGUAACACGCUCCGUUACUUCCGGGUUACCGCGGAGCGCAACUCGAACGAGCUCAACCCAAAGCACAUUCAACUCGAGGUAUGACUGUAGUUGAAUGUUAUUUACAAAAAAUGUAACACAGGGCAGUGGCGUAGCGUGGGGGUGCAGGGGGGGCCGGCCGCACCGGGCGCAACAUCGGGGGGGCGCUCACACUCGCAGCUCUCUGCCCCUACCUGGCUCACUCACUCUCUCUCACUGCAGUGCUGGCUGUGCGAAUCCGAUCCAAGCCGCUGGGUCGCCGCCCACUGUGGAGGGGGUGGGUGCCAGGCGUGCGGUGCGGAGAGAGAGCGAGGGACUAUCUGGGGGAGGGACAGUGCAGCGGCCGCCCAGCGCAGCGCUGAGCGCGGGAGAGAACCACACCAGACCAGACCAGGCAGUAGCAAGAAGAAGCUGGCAGCGGCGGCAGGUUAGGGGUUAGGGGGCGCAAAUUACUUGCCUUGCCCCGGGUUAGGGGGCGCAAAUUACUUGCCUUGCCCCAGGUUAGGGGGCGCAAAUUACUUGCCUUGCCCCGGGUUAGGGGGCGCAAAUUACUUGCCUUGCCCUGGGUGCUGACAACCCACGCUACGCCGCUGACACAGGGCAGUAUUCUGCUAAGUAACUGAGGUAGCAGAACAACUUCUGCUUGCACAAUGGGCUUUCUCUCUUCUCCAUGUCACCUGCGCUGUCCCCAGAUCUUCUCCAGGGGGUUGGGGGAACCCCUAGAACAGAUUAUGAGGGUGCAGGAGGAAGGAGAGGAGAAGAAUGUUUCCUUGCACUGAUGAACCAUUUGCCAUUCCACCAAUGAACCCAAGCAUAUAAAAAGGCAUAAAAUUCUUUUAUUGGAGAAUGCUUUAUCACAAAUCAGGGUACAGGCAGUGAAGCAGUGUGUGUCAUUUCCGUGAAAAUCAAGUGCAUGCAGAAGAUGUUUUAACCAGUAAUUGUAGGAAGGAGUGUCUGGCAAGGUAUGCAAGUCCUUUCUGGGGAAGGGAAGUGGCAGGUCAAGGUCCAAUUAGUGAAUAUUGAGAAAGGGAGAUCAGGGCAAAGCCAGUCUUGUCUUGCAUGGGGCCAGUACAAUUAUCAUUCAGCUAUUCUUUUACUUGUCCCUGGACUAUUCAAGCUGCUGUCACCCAGAAGCCUUAUAAUUGUUCAGCACAUACAGUGCCCAGAUCCCAAGAAGAAAUGUUUGCACUCUGUUCUGCAUUGGUCAGGCUGCCUCUGAAGUACUGAGUGUCCGGUUCAGGGCACCACAUUUUAAGAAUUACACUGACAAACUGGAGUGUGUCCAGAGGGUGGGGGACAGGAUGAUGAGGGGUGUGGAGACCAAGUCCUUUGGGGGAAAGUCAAUACAGCUGGACAUGUUUUGCAUUGAAAAGGAAAGCUCAAGCUGAGAGACCAUCAGGGUCUGCAACUAUCUGCAGGGCUGUUGUGCACAAGAUAAAGCAGACUCUCUUGCUCCAAUGGGUGGAACAAAUAGACCCAACAGGUAGGAAUUGCAAGGAAGCAGGAAAAGCUUCCUGACAGUCAGAACUGACCAUCAGUAGAACAAUCUGCCUCCGGAGGCGAUGGGCUCUCUUCCACUGGUAGUAUUUAAACAGAGUAUAAAGAGCAACCUACACCAUCUUUUAGAACAACGGUCGCUAAAUCAUAGCCUCCCCCACAAAAAACCCAAACUGUCAUUUAAAAUAGUUUUCUUAAUUGACCGCUGCCAUAACUGUGUUCCCCACUCCUAAUGUCGUGAGGCCCAAAGGUUUGUGGGGCUCCCAAUUUUCCCAUCCCCUCACACGAUCAAUUUAUUCUUUUUUCUUUUGCUGAGCACUCCUUUAGAUCCACCAAUUAUGGGAGAGUAAGAUUAUCAUUAAUAAUUAAUAAUAUUUAUAUGCCACUUAAUAUGCAAAAUCCCUCAGCAGUUGACAUAAAACACAGUAAGAUCAUUAAAAAGGAAAGGGGUGUGGAAUGUAUACGCAAGACUUAAAACCGAAAGUACAUAGAAAUACAUCAGCAAAAACAGAGAAGCCAUCAAUACAAGAUGCAGUUAAAUAUCAAUAAAUAAUAAAGUAGAAUAAUGUGAAGAAAGUUACGAGCCGGGGAAUGCCUGCUUAAGCAGAUGGAUGGGUCUUCGAAGCUUGCCACUGAGCCUAGGGCUUGCCAAUCGGAAGGUCGGCGGUUCGAAUCCCCGCGACAGGGUGAGCUCCCAUUGCUCUGUCCCAGCUCCUGCCAACCUAGCAGUUCAAAAGCACGUCAAAGUGCAAGUAGAUAAAUAGGUACCACUCCGCCGGGAAGGUAAACGGUGUUUCCGUGAGCUGCUCUGGUUCGCCAGAAGUGGCUUAGUCAUGCCAGCCACAUGACCCGGAAGCUGUACACCGGCUCCCUCGGCCUGUAAAGCGAGAUGAACACCGCAAACCCAGAGUCAUCCACGACUGGACCCAAUGGUCAGGGGUCCCUUUACCUUUACCUAACAGCAAGUGGAAGAGUGUCCCAGAGAGUGGUGGGAUUCUGACCAUUGGCCACUGUUACAGAACUUGGGGGGGGGUUUCCCCCCAAACACCAAAAUUUAUAAAUGCUAGGAUUUUGGGUUAUUUGUGAUAUAAGCUGCAAAGGGGUUCCUGGGUAGCCUGGCCAAACUAGGGCCGUUAAGAGAGCCAUUGCGGGUCAUUAACAAGACAAUGGAACUUCUUGCCCAGGUGUGACAAGAGAUUGGAGAUUUGGAAGGUUGCCAGGGUAACUGCUGUGGGGGAGGACAAGGAGCUUCUGGGAAGAAGAAAGGGUGAGAUCCAUCUUGGCGAAGGAGAAGGAAGAACUGCCUGCAAUGCUUUGGACCAUGCUAUAAGAUCUGGACCCCCUCCAUGCAGACUGAAGGUGAAAAUAUAAAACCACAUUUCUUGAAGCUCAG